Guyanagaster necrorhizus is the source of this 83-nucleotide non-coding RNA. The record is from the annotation of a RefSeq genome assembly. Lineage: Eukaryota; Fungi; Basidiomycota; Agaricomycetes; Agaricales; Physalacriaceae.
UCCCUCUUAGCUCAGUGGUAGAGCGUGUCACUCGUAUUGUAGUUGCGAUGACAAGGUCAGUCGUUCAAUCCGGCUAGCGGGAA